UAAGAAAAUUACUAAGGGCGUAUGGCGGAUGCCUUGGCUUUGAGAGGCGAUGAAGGACGUGACAAGCUGCGAUAAGCUACGAUUAGGUGCAAAUAACCUGUAAGUCGUAGAUUUCCGAAUGGGGCAACCCAAUACUGUGAAGCAGUAUUAUCCCGAUUAAUCGGGAAGCAAACCCGGGGAACUGAAACAUCUAAGUACCCGGAGGAAGAGAAAAUAAUAAUGAUUCCCCUAGUAGCGGCGAGCGAACGGGGAAGAGCCCAAACCAAUAUUGUUUCGGCAAUAUUGGGGUUGUAGGACUACAAUGUGGACUUAAUAUUUAUAGUAGAAUCAAUUGGAAAGUUGAACCAUAGAGGGUGAUAGUCCCGUAGACGAAAUAAAUGUUAUACCUAGUAGUAUCCUGAGUAGCACGAAACACGUGAAAUUUUGUGUGAACCAGCCGGAACCAUCCGGUAAGGCUAAAUACUCCUCAAAGACCGAUAGUGAACUAGUACCGUGAGGGAAAGGUGAAAAGAACUCCGAACAGGAGAGUGAAAUAGUCCCUGAAACCAUACGCUUACAAGCUGUAGGAGUGACGCCAUGUGCGUUAUGACUGCGUGCCUUUUGCAUAAUGAGCCUACGAGUUACUCCUCACUAGCAAGGUUAAGAUCUUCAGGAUCGGAGCCGAAGCGAAAGCAAGUCUGAAUAGGGCGUAUAGUUAGUGGGGGUAGACGCGAAACCGUGUGAUCUACCCAUGGUCAGGUUGAAGCUCUGGUAACACAGAGUGGAGGACCGAACCAGUUGACGUUGAAAAGUCUUUGGAUGAACUGUGGGUAGGGGUGAAAGGCCAAUCAAACUCGGAAAUAGCUCGUACUCCCCGAAAUGUAUUUAGGUACAGCCUUGAGUAAAGAGAGAUAUAGAGGUAGAGCUACUGAUAGGGCUAGGGGGCUUCACCGCCUACCAAACCCUGACAAACUCCGAAUGCUAUAUCUUGUUCCUCAGGAGUGAGGGCAUGGGUGCUAAGGUCCAUGUCCGAGAGGGAAACAACCCAGAUCAUCAGCUAAGGUCCCAAAAUGUAUAUUAAGUUGUUCAAACGUGGUCCGAUUGCUUAGACAGCUAGGAUGUUGGCUUGGAAGCAGCCAUUCAUUUAAAGAGUGCGUAACAGCUCACUAGUCGAGCGAUUGGGCGUGGAUAAUAAUCGGGCAUAAAAUAUACUACCGAAGCUAUGAGAUCGAAAGAUCGGUAGGGGAGCAUUCUAACAGCGCAGAAGGUGUAUCGUAAGGUAUGCUGGAGCAGUUAGAAAAGAAAAUGUAGGCAUAAGUAACGAUAAAGCGGGCGAGAAACCCGCUCACCGAAAGACUAAGGUUUCCUGAUCAACGCUAAUCGGAUCAGGGUUAGUCGGGUCCUAACGCGAACCCGAAAGGGGUAGUGGAUGGAUAACAGGUUAAUAUUCCUGUACUAGCAAUAAUUGCGAUGGGGUGACGGAGUAGUGAAAGGACUGCGUGCUGACGGAAUAGCACGUUAAAGGGUGUAGGUAUUGGGACUGUAGGCAAAUCCGCAGAUCCAGCUGAACCUGAUAGUACCACGAGCCUUCGGGCAAGUGGAUAAUGUCCCUAAUCAGACUUCCAAGAAAACCCUCUAAGCUUCAGAUUAUUGGUACCCGUACCGCAAACCGACACAGGUAGUCGAGGAGAGAAUCCUAAGGUGCUCGAGUGAUUCAUGGUUAAGGAACUAGGCAAAAUCGCCCUGUAACUUCGGAAGAAAGGGCGCCCCCGCUUCAAAACGGGGGCCGCAGUGAAAAGAUCCAAGCGACUGUUUAUCAAAAACACAUGGCUUUGCUAAAUCGAAAGAUGAUGUAUAAGGCCUGACACCUGCCCGGUGCUGGAAGGUUAAAAGGAGAUGUUAUUCCGAUUUAUCGGAAGAAGCAUUGAAUUGAAGCCCCAGUAAACGGCGGCCGUAACUAUAACGGUCCUAAGGUAGCGAAAUUCCUUGUCGGGUAAGUUCCGACCUGCACGAAUGGUGUAACGAUUUGGAUACUGUCUCAACCAUGAGCUCGGUGAAAUUGUAAUCCCGGUGAAGAUGCCGGGUACCCGCAACGGGACGAAAAGACCCCGUGAACCUUUACUAUAGCUUAACAUUGAUAUUGGGUAAUUUAUGUGUAGGAUAGGUGGGAGACUACGAAGCGGCAUCGCUAGGUGUUGUGGAGUCGUCCUUGAAAUACCACCCUUAAAUUGCUUGAUGUCUAAUCCGCCUUAGGUGGAGACAAUGUUUGGUGGGUAGUUUGACUGGGGUGGUCGCCUCCUAAAGAGUAACGGAGGCUUCUAAAGGUGCCCUCAGCACGCUUGGUAACCGUGCGCAGAGUGCAAUGGCACAAGGGCGCUUGACUGUGAGACUGACAAGUCGAGCAGGUACGAAAGUAGAGCAUAGUGAUCCGGUGGUUCCGUAUGGAAGGGCCAUCGCUCAAAGGAUAAAAGGUACUCCGGGGAUAACAGGCUAAUCUCCCCCAAGAGCUCACAUCGACGGGGGGGUUUGGCACCUCGAUGUCGGCUCGUCACAUCCUGGGGCUGGAGAAGGUCCCAAGGGUUGGGCUGUUCGCCCAUUAAAGUGGCACGCGAGCUGGGUUCAGAACGUCGUGAGACAGUUCGGUCUCUAUCUGUUGUGGGCGUUGGAAAUUUGAGAGGAUCUGACUCUAGUACGAGAGGACCGGGUUGGACGAACCUCUGGUGUAUCUGUUGUUCCGCCAGGAGCAUUGCAGAGUAGCUACGUUCGGAAGGGAUAAGCGCUGAAAGCAUCUAAGCGCGAAGCCUACCUCAAGAUGAAAUUUCCUUUAAGGGUCGUUAUAGACGAUGACGUUGAUAGGUUGUAGGUGUAAAGGCAGUAAUGUCAAAGCUGAGCAAUACUAAUUACCCGUAAGUUUUCUA
RNAcentral lists this ribosomal RNA (2897 nucleotides) under Bacteroidota bacterium. RNAcentral's name for it is "Bacteroidetes bacterium (bioreactor metagenome) 23S ribosomal RNA". It matches the Rfam family "Bacterial large subunit ribosomal RNA". Lineage: Bacteria; Pseudomonadati; Bacteroidota. The record is from RNAcentral.